AACGAACGCUGGCGGCAUGCCUUACACAUGCAAGUCGAACGGCAGCACGGGAGCAAUCCUGGUGGCGAGUGGCGAACGGGUGAGUAAUAUAUCGGAACGUGCCCAGUCGUGGGGAUAACGUAGCGAAAGCUACGCUAAUACCGCAUACGAUCUAUGGAUGAAAGCGGGGGAUCGCAAGACCUCGCGCGAUUGGAGCGGCCGAUAUCAGAUUAGGUAGUUGGUGAGGUAAAGGCUCACCAAGCCGGCGAUCUGUAGCUGGUCUGAGAGGACGACCAGCCACACUGGAACUGAGACACGGUCCAGACUCCUACGGGAGGCAGCAGUGGGGAAUUUUGGACAAUGGACGCAAGUCUGAUCCAGCCAUUCCGCGUGCAGGAUGAAGGCCCUCGGGUUGUAAACUGCUUUUGUACGGAACGAAACGGUGAGCUCUAAUACAGUUUGCUAAUGACGGUACCGUAAGAAUAAGCACCGGCUGACUACGU
RNAcentral lists this ribosomal RNA (482 nucleotides) under uncultured bacterium. Its description in RNAcentral is "bacterial SSU rRNA". It matches the Rfam family "Bacterial small subunit ribosomal RNA", at positions 29 to 506 of the family's 1533-position model. The record is from RNAcentral.